Molecule: non-coding RNA, 275 nt
Organism: Paramuricea clavata
Lineage: Eukaryota; Metazoa; Cnidaria; Anthozoa; Malacalcyonacea; Plexauridae
Source: the annotation of a GenBank genome assembly
GGGACUAGCUAACAGUCGUGGGUCGUGGGUAGAAUGUCGUGGGUUGUGGGUAAAAUGUCGUGGGUCGUGGGUAAAAUGUCGUGGGUCGUGGGUAAAAAGGCGUGGGUCGUGGGUAAAAAGGUCGUGGGUCGUGGGUAGAAUGUCGUGGGUCGUGGGUAAAAAGGCGUGGGUCGUGGGUAAAAAGGCGUGGGUCGUGGGUAAAAAGGCGUGGGUCGUGGGUAAAAAGGCGUGGGUCGUGGGUAAAAAGGCGUGGGUCGUGGGUAAAAAGGCGUGGG